UACGGGGGGGGCAAGCGUUGUUCGGAAUUACUGGGCGUAAAGGGCUCGUAGGCGGCCAACUAAGUCAGACGUGAAAUCCCUCGGCUUAACCGGGGAACUGCGUCUGAUACUGGUUGGCUUGAAUCCGGGAGAGGGAUGUGGAAUUCCAGGUGUAGCGGUGAAAUGCGUAGAUAUCUGGAGGAACACCGGUGGCGAAGGCGGCAUCCUGGACCGGUAUUGACGCUGAGGCGCGAAAGCCAGGGGAGCAAACGGG
RNAcentral lists this ribosomal RNA (253 nucleotides) under uncultured bacterium. RNAcentral describes it as "partial 16S ribosomal RNA". It matches the Rfam family "Bacterial small subunit ribosomal RNA", at positions 524 to 776 of the family's 1533-position model. The record is from RNAcentral.